UGUCUGCACAGAGCCUGAUGCUCCAACUCACAGACUGCGAGAUCAUGACUUGAGUCAAAGUUGGAUGCUUAACCGACUGAGCCACCCAGGUGCCCCUCAAGGCCUCAUGUCUUAUCCCCACUCUACUUCACAGCCAACUAACUAAUCUGUACAUGUCUGUGUCUAGCCCUCCCUAUGACUCUGUCUGCUAUCUGUUGUAUGUUUUCUCCCCUAGGUCUUGAAAAGGAAAUAAUCUCUCCUUCCAACACCUAUAAUGGCUGAUCCAAAUGAUACUCAGCACUUCCUUAGGGAGGUUUCAGGGUUUUUGGCAGACAAGAAAGAAGGUCAACACAACAUACUGAAGAACACUGGAUUAGGAGUAAGCAGAGUGGUUCAUGGAGCUCUUUUGCCACAGGAAGGCCAUUUAACCAUCUGGGGUCUUGGCUGCCCAUACUCUUGGCCAUCAGACCCAGUGGUUCCCACUCAGCUCCCCCUAGCAUGCCUGAUCUGGACUCCAGUUCAACAGAUGGCAGUGACCUUUUAACUCUCCUGCCCUGGUGCUGACCACAGUGGCACUGCAGUGAUGGCCUCUGCAGUACUGGGUAUGGUAUCUGCAGCAUUACCCGAAUAUCUUGUUGCACUUUGUCCUUAUUGUUUAACAAAUGUGGAUGGUAGAUAGCAAUAAGAAAUCCUGAUACUUGUGAUAACAGGUCCCACACGCCAUUGCCUUUUUGUCAGUUGAGACAUGCGUGGAAAUCACUAGUACACUAAAUCCUUAGCCAAACCA
This is a long non-coding RNA of Herpailurus yagouaroundi (jaguarundi), 766 nucleotides long. RefSeq lists it as uncharacterized. The record is from RefSeq and is a predicted model, not a curated record. Lineage: Eukaryota; Metazoa; Chordata; Mammalia; Carnivora; Felidae. The transcript is spliced from 2 exons.